RNAcentral lists this ribosomal RNA (468 nucleotides) under uncultured bacterium. RNAcentral describes it as "partial 16S ribosomal RNA". It matches the Rfam family "Bacterial small subunit ribosomal RNA", at positions 28 to 507 of the family's 1533-position model. The record is from RNAcentral.
GACGAACGCUGGCGGCGUGCUUAACACAUGCAAGUCGAACGGAAAGGCCCUGCUUUUGUGGGGUGCUCGAGUGGCGAACGGGUGAGUAACACGUGAGUAACCUGCCCUUGACUUUGGGAUAACUUCAGGAAACUGGGGAGAAUACCGGAUAGGAGCUCCUGCUGCAUGGUGGGGGAUGGAAAGUUUCGGCGGUUGGGGAUGGACUCGCGGCUUAUCAGCUUGUUGGUGGGGUAGUGGCUUACCAAGGCUUUGACGGGUAGCCGGCCUGAGAGGGUGACCGGCCACAUUGGGACUGAGAUACGGACCAGACUCCUACGGGAGGCAGCAGUGGGGAAUAUUGCACAAUGGGCGGAAGCCUGAUGCAGCAACGCCGCGUGCGGGAUGACGGCCUUCGGGUUGUAAACCGCUUUCGCCUGUGACGAAGCGUGAGUGACGGUAACGGGUAAAGAAGCACCGGCUAACUACGUG